CCGACAGGUGCAUGGAGAGCCACGUGGACCGCAAGAACGCUUUUCCUGCGGUUCUCACGGUCCACGAUGGAUCGAAGUGGUUUCUCAAGCGAUUCCCUGGGUAUUUGCACGAUUAGACGGAUGAGGGAUGAUCCUGCAUGUGAUCCAAUGGCUCUGGGAGGUCCUGAUCAUGAUCUGGAUGAUUGGGAGGCUUGAUCGAGCUACAAGAUACGUGAUCUGAUGGCGGAGAAGUCUUGCAGUAUGGAUCGAAUGGCGUAUUCACUAGGGUUUGGGUUUGGGCCUUAUAAGAAGGCCGAUGGCCUGAGGAACAAAGGGUCUCAAAAGCUUCGGAAUCUCAAUAGGGUGACGCAAAGGCCGAGGCAAGGAGCGCUGAGCAUGCAGUAGCGCAUCCUUGGUGGCAUGAGGCUGAGAGAGGCUCGAUAACGGUGCAGUGCCGAGAAAGGUAUCUCAGGAAGAUCGUCAGUAGGUCUCAAAGAGUGCCAGAGGCAUCAGACAGUCGGGAAUGUCUUGAGGACGGCCUGUAGAGUGGCUGUAAGGGUAGAGACAAGCUGGGGCAUGAUGUAACGGCUGAGAGUCUCACAGGAAGUAUCCAGAGGUGUUGAGGAUCCUGGUACUGUAGACUAUGAGAGAGCCCUCUUGGGAUUAAUUUGAGAGCAUUGUAUGGGUGAGUGCUUCGAGGUUGAGAGAGAGGGUUGAGAGUUGAGAUUGUAUCUCCUCUGUACUUUAUUCUUUCUCAGAAAUGAAGCCUUGCAUGUCCCAUGGAUGUAGGCACUUGGGCCGAACCACGUAAAUUGAUUGUAUGUCCUGUUUAUUUCUUCUUUCUUGCUUC
This 829-nucleotide long non-coding RNA is filed under the name Elaeis guineensis (African oil palm). RNAcentral describes it as "long non-coding RNA (EGUI_LNC042866)". Lineage: Eukaryota; Viridiplantae; Streptophyta; Magnoliopsida; Arecales; Arecaceae. The record is from RNAcentral.